RNAcentral lists this unclassified non-coding RNA (339 nucleotides) under Melitaea cinxia (Glanville fritillary). RNAcentral describes it as "misc RNA ENSMCXG00005013012.1". Lineage: Eukaryota; Metazoa; Arthropoda; Insecta; Lepidoptera; Nymphalidae. The record is from RNAcentral.
CCGAUCCCGGUCCCUUAGAUAUAUCAAGACUUUUAAGAGAUUUAACUACAGUUUGUCGGUCAAUGGCUAUACUGGAAAUUGAAUCAAAGUGAUUCGAUAACAAUUUAGAAAACAAGGAAGAUGAACCCUGGGAUUGACUAGAUGGAUUAUAUACAGAAGAAAAGUAGCUACCAAACAUGUUACAAAUAUCACGUCCAUUGCUUGCCACAUCAUCGCCAUGCAUAAAAUGAUUUCAAGAGGAGGAUGAUAGGAAUCGAUUUUGCAAAGACCAGCUAGAGCUUCAGUUACUUUACACACAGAUAAAUCAGUAAGGACCAAGUCAAGAAUCCUACCCAUGCC